AGCAUCGUGGGCUUGUAUACCAUGGCAGGGAUGUCAGCAUAUUGUAGCCAGUUCAGUCAGACGUGUUAAACGACGCCAGGAUCGAGCUCGUACGUAUCGAUCCUUAAGGCGACAUAUUGAUCGAUGUAUAUUCCCAUGGCGCCGCUGCAGACAGUCUGAUCACCUCCUACAGGGAGACAAACAACGAUUUGAGUCUGAGGUAUUUUAUUCUUAGCAAAAUCGUCACCUUAGGUCGAUCGGUACUCAGCUUUGAGCAUCAAAUUUGCAGCGAUGCAGAAGAGAUGUGAGAUUUUAGUCCUAAACUUUGUCUAGGUCACACCCUGAAGGGAUGAGACUCCUGGGCCAUUAGCUCAGGUGGUUAGAGCGCACCCCUGAUAAGGGUGAGGUCCCUGGUUCAAGUCCAGGAUGGCCCAUUCGGUGUUGGGGGUUUAGCUCAGUUGGUAGAGCGCUGCUUUGCAAGCAGGAUGUCAGGAGUUCGAGUCUCCUAACCUCCACUGACCAAACUGUAUCCCCAUCUCCAAAAGGAUAUUGGAGUAUGAGUUCGACUGGAGUGUGAUUUAGAUGUGUCCGCUGGAAGACCCCAGCUUCCUGUCAUUCUAAGGAUUGAUCGAAUCAAUUUUUAGUUGAUAAGAUGCUGGGCUCAAACUGAGCAAUCAGUUUGGAGUUCUAGCAGAACCUUGACAACUGCAUAGGUGAGUCUGGAAAGAAUAAAGCAUCUCAUGGAUGCAUCAUUCUUUUUUGGAUGAUGUUUGAUUCUUGAGCAAGAGCCGAGACUCCACCACGUUCUUCUGAUUGUGUCGAGCAAUUAGGAGUUUGAUUCUUGAUUCAGAAAUGAAUCAGGGAGAAUCUGUUUCAACGACAGCAAGCGUGUUGGAGAUUAUAUGGUCAAGCUACAGAGGGCUCACGGCGGAUACCUUGGCACACAGAGGCGAUGAAGGA
Molecule: transfer RNA, 939 nt
Filed under: uncultured Synechococcus sp.
Lineage: Bacteria; Bacillati; Cyanobacteriota; Cyanophyceae; Synechococcales; Synechococcaceae
Description: partial contains 16S ribosomal RNA, 16S-23S ribosomal RNA intergenic spacer, and 23S ribosomal RNA
Rfam family: tRNA (bases 340-413)
Source: RNAcentral